Molecule: long non-coding RNA, 1392 nt
Organism: Diceros bicornis minor
Lineage: Eukaryota; Metazoa; Chordata; Mammalia; Perissodactyla; Rhinocerotidae
Exons: 3
Source: RefSeq, a predicted model, not a curated record
CGGGACCGCCACGUCCACCCCGGAAGACCCGGUCCCUGAAGCCUCUCAGUGCCCAAGUGGACGUGCCGACCCAGAGUUACCAAAUUUAAAAUCAAGUCGACGUGGAUUUUCAUCCCGGUGCUGUCACUUACUGGCUUCCUGCUACCGGAAACUCCGGACUUCUGCCUCCCUUUGGCUACCGUGGAUAAUGUCCCAGACAAAAUUAGUUAAAUAAUUGACAGCAUUCAAUCGAGUGCCUGGUGUAUACAGGUGCCUGGUGGAUAUUUGUUGGAUUAACCUGGCUUCCCCCUUUGCUGAAUUCUACACCUGGGAAGGCUCCCCAGGGCAUUCUUCCUGUCCGUGGCCUUGUCAAAUGUCAUGUCCUGUGACCUGCCACUCCAGCCUUCUUUCUAGAGGUUGGUACUUUGCAUAUAGCAAGAGUGAUGGAUCUUUCCAGAAUUCAAGGUCUCUGUAUUGCCUCUUUCAUAUCUGUUCUGAGAUACUUAUUUCAAGAGUUUACUUAGAUAAAAUUCGACAUGGAAAUCUCAUCUUUUUGUUUGGUUUUUGGUGGCCAAUUUGCCUUCUAUUUGGGGGAGGAGGGUAGAGUAUUACGUAAAAGUCAUCCUGAAUUAUAUGAGCAUUUGUCAACAGUAUUUUCUGCCGGCACUGCAAAUGUGGUUCACCUUGUGGAUGUGCAAUAAGACACUAGCAACUUCAGGGUCCUGUCCCUGUGACUUCUCUAGCUCUCGAAUAUGACAAAUUCCAAAUGAGGAAAAAAACAAAGCAACCAAUGUCCAGUCUCUAUGUGGGCCUUAGCAGUCACAGAGCGCUUCUGAUCUGUUACAUCCAUUUAAUCCUCAGCACAGCCCAUUUCCCAGAUGAACCUCAUUGAGGCAGAGUGACUGACCCAGAGCUCAUUUCCAUGACAGAGUCGCCUCUCCAGUCCUGCCUCCUCUCCACACUGCUCUCCCAGGCUCUGACGUGGGGCUGCUCCCUGCCGUCUGAGCAAACGUUCUUAGAGACUCUUUAGAAAUGAUAGGACAUGAACUUUAUUAAUACAGAGCACUAAACAAAUUAGAGAGUUUUCCCAUAUUAUAAGGUAUGUGACAGCUGUUAUUUUACCCAUACUAUUCAUUAUGGGGCUGUUUGUUUAAAGGUUGCCCUGGUGGCUUGGGGACAGUGCCUUUUGCUCUCUGACUCACAGGAAGCAAAAAUAAGUUACUGUCAGGUGAUGGUCAUACUUAGAAGCCAAACUAAAAAUGAGAAGUUUGUCAUCCUUGGGUGUAGGGCAGUUGGCACCACUUCUCAAACUGGUAAGUGCCAGGCUGUUCAAAAUAUAAGAUUUUCUUUGUGUCAUGCAUGUUUUUUUUUGUGUGUGUGUGAGGAAGAUCAGCCCUGAGCUAACAUCCAUGU